CAUGCAAGUCGAACGGAAAGGCCAGUGCUUGCACUGGUACUCGAGUGGCGAACGGGUGAGUAACACGUGGGUGAUCUGCCUUGCACUCUGGGAUAAGCUUGGGAAACUGGGUCUAAUACCGGAUAGGAACCGUCUUUAGUGUGGUGGUUGGAAAGUUUUUUCGGUGCAAGAUGAGCUCGCGGCCUAUCAGCUUGUUGGUGGGGUAAUGGCCUACCAAGGCGUCGACGGGUAGCCGGCCUGAGAGGGUGUACGGCCACAUUGGGACUGAGAUACGGCCCAGACUCCUACGGGAGGCAGCAGUGGGGAAUAUUGCACAAUGGGCGGAAGCCUGAUGCAGCGACGCCGCGUGGGGGAUGAAGGCCUUCGGGUUGUAAACUCCUUUCGUCAGGGACGAAGUUUUUUUGACGGUACCUGGAUAA
Molecule: ribosomal RNA, 419 nt
Filed under: uncultured Actinomycetales bacterium
Lineage: Bacteria; Bacillati; Actinomycetota; Actinomycetes; Actinomycetales
Description: bacterial SSU rRNA
Rfam family: Bacterial small subunit ribosomal RNA
Source: RNAcentral